Molecule: ribosomal RNA, 461 nt
Filed under: Vreelandella aquamarina
Lineage: Bacteria; Pseudomonadati; Pseudomonadota; Gammaproteobacteria; Oceanospirillales; Halomonadaceae
Description: bacterial SSU rRNA
Rfam family: Bacterial small subunit ribosomal RNA
Source: RNAcentral
GAUCCAGCUUGCUAGGAUGCUGACGAGCGGCGGACGGGUGAGUAAUGCAUAGGAAUCUGCCCGAUAGUGGGGGAUAACCUGGGGAAACCCAGGCUAAUACCGCAUACGUCCUACGGGAGAAAGGGGGCUCCGGCUCCCGCUAUGGGAUGAGCCUAUGUCGGAUUAGCUAGUUGGUGAGGUAACGGCUCACCAAGGCCACGAUCCGUAGCUGGUCUGAGAGGAUGAUCAGCCACAUCGGGACUGAGACACGGCCCGAACUCCUACGGGAGGCAGCAGUGGGGAAUAUUGGACAAUGGGGGAAACCCUGAUCCAGCCAUGCCGCGUGUGUGAAGAAGGCCCUCGGGUUGUAAAGCACUUUCAGCGAGGAAGAACGCCUAACGGUUAAUACCCGCUAGGAAAGACAUCACUCGCAGAAGAAGCACCGGCUAACUCCGUGCCAGCAGCCGCGGUAAUACGGAGGG